Molecule: ribosomal RNA, 470 nt
Filed under: uncultured bacterium
Lineage: Bacteria
Description: bacterial SSU rRNA
Rfam family: Bacterial small subunit ribosomal RNA
Source: RNAcentral
ACAUGCAAGUCGAACGCACUAGCAAUAGUGAGUGGCGCACGGGUGCGUAACACGUGGGUAAUCAACCCUUCAGCUUGGGAUAACGACUUGAAAGGGUCGCUAAUACCGGAUACGGCGCGGGAGGCUUCGGCUUCUCACGAGAAAGCCUCGCAAGGGGCACUGAAGGACGAGCCUGCGGCCCAUCAGCUAGUUGGUGAGGUAAGAGCUCACCAAGGCGAAGACGGGUAGCUGGUCUGAGAGGAUGAUCAGCCACACUGGAACUGAGACACGGUCCAGACUCCUACGGGAGGCAGCAGUGGGGAAUAUUGCGCAAUGGGCGCAAGCCUGACGCAGCCACGCCGCGUGAGCGAUGAAGGCCUUCGGGUCGUAAAGCUCUGUGGGGAGAGACGAAGAAAGACGGUGAAGAGCGGGCCUUGACGGUAUCUCCUUAGCAAGCAUCAACGAACUCCGUGCCAGCAGCCGCGGUAAUA